Molecule: long non-coding RNA, 384 nt
Organism: Mesocricetus auratus (golden hamster)
Lineage: Eukaryota; Metazoa; Chordata; Mammalia; Rodentia; Cricetidae
Exons: 2
Source: RefSeq, a predicted model, not a curated record
UGGGCCCCUCCUGUCAUCUGCCCUUCUUAGAUUUCAGUUUCCAGAUGUUCUGGGCUCUCCAUUUCUAUUUCUUGUGCCGUCACCUUGAUUAAAGACACUGCCAGGCCAGGAACCAGGAGCUUUCUUUCUUGCAUGACCUGACCUGCUGGUCUCCACUGCGUUCAUCACUCCUGCUGGUCUCCACUGCGUUCAUCACUCCUGCUGGUCUCCACUGCGUUCAUCACUCCUGCUGGUCUCCACUGCGUUCAUCACUCCGGGUCCACUGCAAAAGUCCCUGUCUCCGGAGCCUCUUGGCCUUGUCUGGUUUCUAUCACAUCAUUUUGCUUUUGCUUGUUUUUCUGUUAUCAAUUAAAGGCCCCCUGUUGCGGGUGAUUGAUUUGUUAA